CNAGUCGAACGGAAAGGCCACUGCUUGCAGUGGUACUCGAGUGGCGAACGGGCNNNGUAACACGUGGGUGAUCUGCCCUGUACUUUGGGAUAAGCCUGGGAAACUGGGUCUAAUACCGGAUAGGACCAUCGUUUAGUGUCGGUGGUGGAAAGCUUUUGCGGUACGGGAUGAGCUCGCGGCCUAUCAGCUUGUUGGUGGGGUAAUGGCCUACCAAGGCGUCGACGGGUAGCCGGCCUGAGAGGGUGGACGGCCACAUUGGGACUGAGAUACGGCCCAGACUCCUACGGGAGGCAGCAGUGGGGAAUAUUGCACAAUGGGCGCAAGCCUGAUGCAGCGACGCCGCGUGAGGGAUGACGGCCUUCGGGUUGUAAACCUCUUUCGCUAGGGACGAAGCUUUUGUGACGGUACCUAGAGAAGAAGCACCGGCUAACUACGUGCCAGCAGCCGCGGUAAUACGUAGGGUGCGAGCGUUGUCCGGAUUUACUGGGCGUAAAGAGCUCGUAGGUGGUUUGUCGCGUCGUCUGUGAAAUUCCGGGGCUUAACUCCGGGCGUGCAGGCGAUACGGGCAUAACUUGAGUACUGUAGGGGAGACUGGAAUUCCUGGUGUAGCGGUGGAAUGCGCAGAUAUCAGGAGGAACACCGAUGGCGAAGGCAGGUCUCUGGGCAGUUACUGACACUGAGGAGCGAAAGCAUGGGUAGCGAACAGGAUUAGAUACCCUGGUAGUCCAUGCCGU
Molecule: ribosomal RNA, 734 nt
Filed under: Corynebacterium sp. T41421UB02_16S_27f
Lineage: Bacteria; Bacillati; Actinomycetota; Actinomycetes; Mycobacteriales; Corynebacteriaceae
Description: bacterial SSU rRNA
Rfam family: Bacterial small subunit ribosomal RNA
Source: RNAcentral